UUGUACUAACUAACUCUAAUAACUGAGUUUUUUUGAAAAAACAUUGUCUAUAAUACAUUUUGUUUUACUUUUCACUUCACUAAAAAAAUAUUUGUUGGAUGUUUGAAUUUAUUUCUUUGAAAAAAAAAAUUGUAUUGCUCGGUAUUCUUUUUAUCUGGUUGUUAUGAGGGGUAGAUCAUAUAUAAUAUUCUCUAUAAUUGAAAAUAAAGCAAGCUUUUGAAUUUUGAUUUGUAACAGAGUUGGAAUGACAAUUUAAAGAAAUUGUAAAUAAUAUUUUCGCUACUAAUUUCUGCAAUUGAUAACAAUUUUUUUUUUCAUUAUAAAAAUUUGCUUAUUAUUGAUUAUAAUAUAAAAUUUGAAUUAUGACACAUAAAAAGAUAUAUAAUUUUUUUGACCAUUUUCUAACAAUAAAUAAUUUGUUGAACUUAUUCUAAAAAUAGUGUCGGAUUUUCCGUAGGUUGCAAUUUAUUAAAGGGUUUUUUAGACGACUACCUUCAAAACACCUAAAUAUUCUCAAGAGUACCUAUUGAGUAAAAUUAAUUAAAAUUUACGAUCUGACCAAAAUUUGUUGCAAAAAUAAACUUUUUAUUUUGAAAACUACAGUUUCUAACGAACUCCCAAAUUUAUUUCCCUUUGCAUCGGUUCGUCAAAUCCUACUUCGCGACCUUAUAGCGGAGCAUCCAUGGCGAUUUUUCUUUCAAGAUCGAUGAAGCAUAGACGAACAAGAUGGAUAACUCGGUUUGUGCAUCUUGUCCUCUAGGUGCUGCUCUUGUUUAUAUUCAUCUGGAUUGAUUUUUCUUUUUCUUCACGUUGACAGAAAGAUCUAUUAGAGAAUACUUUCUGCAAAUUCAAGCAAAAUAUUUUGAUUUUCAUCUAAUAGAAAGGUCUAUUAGAGAAGCAGUUCACUGGGCAUCGAUUGGAUAGAUCUAUUUGUGAUUGGUUCUUGUAUGAAAUGUCGAUUGGAUAGAUCUAUUUGUGAUUGGUUCUUAAAUGAAAUCAUUUCUCAAGAAGAUUCCUUUAAGUCUUCAUCUUUAAACUGGUUUCUUGAGUUUUUGUGGGAAUUUUCCUGAUUUUGUGAAUUAAAAGGCAUUUGUUUAAGGCUAGUGAUGGAGGAACAGUUGCUUUGGAUUAGCUUAAGUAUUCUGAUAUUGGCCAAUGCUCUUAGUUUUGAUCCUUUUAAUCUGAAUUUUUGUACUUUUAAUUUAGUUAAUGGUGUAUUAGCUGAAAUUUGUCUCGAAUUUGUUGUACAAUUGUAAUUUGCAGUUGAACA
This is a long non-coding RNA of Mercurialis annua (annual mercury), 1270 nucleotides long. RefSeq lists it as uncharacterized. The record is from RefSeq and is a predicted model, not a curated record. The transcript is spliced from 3 exons. Lineage: Eukaryota; Viridiplantae; Streptophyta; Magnoliopsida; Malpighiales; Euphorbiaceae.